Molecule: ribosomal RNA, 242 nt
Filed under: uncultured bacterium
Lineage: Bacteria
Description: partial 16S ribosomal RNA
Rfam family: Bacterial small subunit ribosomal RNA
Source: RNAcentral
GGGCAAGCGUUAUCCGGAUUUACUGGGUGUAAAGGGAGCGUAGACGGAAGAGCAAGUCUGAUGUGAAAGGCUGGGGCUUAACCCCGGGACUGCAUUUGGAACUGUCAGGCUAGAGUGUCGGAGAGGUAAGCGGAAUUCCUAGUGUAGCGGUGAAAUGCGUAGAUAUUAGGAGGAACACCAGUGGCGAAGGCGGCUUACUGGACGAUGACUGACGUUGAGGCUCGAAAGCGUGGGGAGCAAAC